RNAcentral lists this long non-coding RNA (1428 nucleotides) under Sorghum bicolor (sorghum). RNAcentral describes it as "long non-coding RNA (SBIC_LNC011578)". Lineage: Eukaryota; Viridiplantae; Streptophyta; Magnoliopsida; Poales; Poaceae. The record is from RNAcentral.
AACGGAUGAUUUCUAAGUUUAGGGACCGGGAUGACACAAUUGAACAAGUUUAGGGACCGAGAUGACACAGAUGAACAAGUUUGAGGACCUAAACAAUCGAUUUGUGAGUUUCGGAACCGGGAUGACACGACAGCACAAAUUUAGGGAUCGGUGGUGGACUUUACUCACUGAUAAAAGUGUUGAAAUGGAAGCAUCGACAAGACGUGGUGUUCAGGUAUCUGAAAGCUUAGCAUCGGUCACCCGUCUGACUUCUCGGCAACGGCAGGGAGCGAGGAUGCCUGCCUUGACCUCGCGCGGUGCGUGACAACGACCUGGGACACCCAUAUUAUUCCUUGGUACCUCAGUAAUAUAUGCUCACAUUAUCACGACGCAAUAUAUGUGAAUCAUCUCGUUUGUGUAAGGUACCUCAGUAAUAAUGUGAACUUGCAAGCUUAUAGGAAAAUGUUCUAUACAACAUUAGUAUCGAAAAGUACAAAGGCGUGUGAGCUUAGUUCUUCAUGGAGAACUAACUUUAUUAGCUCUUCUUCUUACUCAAUAAAAUGUUCUAUAAGCUAGAAAUUUUAACACUAUUGGAGCUAUCCUAGAACUCUUUUUUCGAAGUCAUUACUGCUGAAGUUGUGGUUUCUUUUUUCUUUUUUUUUUGCGAGGAAAAGUUGUGGUUUCCUGUCACAGGACAAAUUAGGGUACUUUUUUUUAAACAAAUUAGGGUACUGUUAAUGGCAAAUCUUGCUGUUGUAUAUAAAUUAAGGUUGCUCACGCAAAAGGUUGCUCGCGCAAAUAGCACGGAUACUCAGGUUUUUAUUUUAUUUUAUUUUAUUUAUUUAUUUAUUUAUUUAUUUAUUACUUGACAAUAUUUCUUGUAAAUAGCUCCGUUUGUUUUGACUAUCGUGGAGUACCUCUUCUCAUUUUUCUUUGUUUCCAACGGUGCUUGUAGAGGUGAAAAGGCCGUUCAACUGAUGCUGAUGUAUAGGUAUGGUCUUAUGGCUGGAUUUUUUUGUCUUUUAGUUGUACUUUUUUGUGUUUGUAUUCACUUAAAGAGCAUCUCCAACCGUCCCCCUUUCCUCACCUCCAAUGAGAAAAAAAAAACUAUUAUUUUGGAGAUCUUGUAGCUCUAGUAGUUUCCUAAACCCAACCCCACAAUAAGAAAAAAGAAAUUCUCACUCCCUCGAAUCAUAGCCUCUCACCCUCAAAUAAAGGGGAGACCUAUCCUCUCCUAAUCCACUAUUUUUCUCAUUGGGGAUGUUCGGUUAGGGAGAAGACUUUUUAAACCCCAAUCCACUAUUUUAGGGGUUGGAGUUUUCUCCUACCGCUGGAGAUGGGUCUUUUGGUUGGAGCCUUGGAACCAGGCAAUGUGGCCAAGCAUACAUCUUCACCUACGAUAUCCACAAACCACUUCCAAACCAAACAAACUUAGCUUAAUCUAUGUUC